RNAcentral lists this ribosomal RNA (421 nucleotides) under Semisulcospira libertina. RNAcentral's name for it is "partial 16S ribosomal RNA". It matches the Rfam family "Bacterial large subunit ribosomal RNA", at positions 1956 to 2597 of the family's 2925-position model. The record is from RNAcentral. Lineage: Eukaryota; Metazoa; Mollusca; Gastropoda; Semisulcospiridae.
AUAAUCAUUUGCCUUAUAAUUGAAGGCUAGUAUGAAUGGUUUAACGAGAGCAGCACUGUCUCUUUUUUAUUUUCAAGAACUUAACUUUUAGGUGAAGAGGCCUAAAUCUUAUUGAAGGACAAGAAGACCCUGUCGAGCUUAAAAGAUAUUGUAGAUGUUAAAAUAUAUUUUUUAGAUAAGUUUCUAUUAAGCUUUUUAGUUGGGGCGACUAAGGAACAAAAAAAGCUUCUUUAUUAAAAAUAAAUAGCCAUAUCUAGAUCCGAUACUAAUCGACUAAAGAAAUUAGUUACCGCAGGGAUAACAGCAUAAUCUCUCUUGAGAGAUCUAAUCGAAAGAGGGGGUUGUGACCUCGAUGUUGGACUAGAAUAUCCUAAAGAUGCAGAAGUCUUUAAGGGUCGGUCUGUUCGACCGUUAAAAUUCU